AUAGAUAGAUUUAGUAGGCAAAACCACACAACCCCAAAGGUAAAAAAGCGUUUUCAAGAGUGUCACUUGUGACAUUUAACUAUUUAAGGGUCUGUGUUCUGAGGAGAAAAGCUGCUCUCCAUCAUCUCCAUUUCUCAAAGGGUGCAAGUGCAACCAUUGCAACCUUCAGUCUGAGGUGUGUGUAUGUGCGUUUGUGGGUGGAGGUUGGGAUCUCAUACGUGUCAAUCCUACAUGUUGCAUGAGUAAGGGCUUUGCCUUUCUCAUCACUCAACUCAGAUAGAUAGAGAUAUAAUACCAAAACCAAGUUCAUCUUUCUUCUUUUCUUUUUUCUCUUAUUUCUUGAUUUCAUAUUACUUUUUUUAACAAGUAUUUUAUAUUAGUUAAAAGAAUUACGAAUAUUUUUAUUAUUAUUGAAAAAUAUGCUUAAAUUUGGUAUGACUGUGUUGAUAUCUAUUUUUCCCCCAAGUUUUUAAUUAAUUAUUACAAAAUUGAUACGUUAAGAUCCUUGUUAUUUUUCCUUUUCUUUUGAGAUUAUGUUCUUGUUUGGUGUCAAACCCUAAAUUUUUUUCUUCUAGUAAUUAUAUAAAAUUGUUGAUGAAUAAGAUGGUGGGUGGAUGUGGAUCAAUAAGUCCAUCGUUUUUCCUUUAAUGGGUAUCUCUCUAUUCUUCCAGAUCUGAUUCAAUUCCGAAUUUUUCCCCCUUUUGAUUUUUCCAAAUCCACUUUUCUUUAUGUGAAGCUUUCCAAAUUUGGGCAGGUAUUUGUAUUUACCCCUCCACUCAGUUUUUCUUUCUUUGGAACUUAGAAAUUGACAGAAGAGAGUGAGCACACAGAAGCACUUGGUAUAGUUAUAUACUGUUGCUUUUGCGUGCUCACUUCUCUUUCUGUCAACUUCCAGUGCUGGAAAAUUCCUUUCAAUUCUGGCUCUGCUUUGUUCCAAAUUCCAAACCCCAACCCCACCCACACUCUCGAUCUUUCUCCACACUCUGAUGGAACUGAAGAACAUCAAUUGCUACUUCAACAGGUUAAUUAUAUCAAACAGUAAAAAGCAGUGUCGUUUUGCCGUUCCUAUGUUUUCCUUUUCCUAUUUUAUUUUUCAUUUUUAUGUUUCAGUUUGAUGAUCUAUUAUCUUAUUGAUUUUUAUUAUAUUAUAUUAUAUUAUAUUAUAGCAGUGUUUUACUUGUCUUUAUGUAAUUUAAUAUUAUCUAUAAUUAAACGGAAAAACGUGACUUUCUAUAGCGUGUGGCAGAACGAACCCCCUCAUUAUUAGUGCAGAUUAAUUUAGGGGCAUUUUUUUAAAAUAUGUGUACAAUACUAUAGCAUAGCAUGGGACCAUUCACGUCAUAUAGUAUGGUCCUCAUCAAUUUUUCUUCUCUCAAACGUUCUUUUGCUCUCUCUGUCUAACAUUAUCUUCCUGAUUUCAUGUUCAUCAUUCCCUAUAUUUUAUAAAUUUUGCACAUGCGAACGAGGUUUAUUUACAUAGUAAGAGGUACUGUUUCCUGUUGAGUGUUGACUAGUGUUUGUGCCCACCUCAGGUUAAGCUAGAUUCUUUGUUUUUUGGAUAUCUGGAAUUUUGGAUGGGUAUGUGUGUUAACCGGUUUUGGUUGGUUUAUCUGAUAAACCCUAUCAACUUAAACUGUACUGCACGUUGUUUGUCUGAGCUAUUACAAAAUUGUUUGAGAGUUUGAGGAUAGCAUAGCAUAAUUUUGAUUCCUUCACAUCCUAAGAUUUUGAUUCUCCUAGAUAAAUCUUCAUUAUUUAGGAGAUUCUUGUUAAUUUUUUUCUUUUGAAUUACGUGGUGCAUUUUAAUAUGGAAAAAAAGAUUUUUGGUUGAGAAUAUUCUGCUGACGCUGCAGCAUAAUUUUUCCUUAAGUUGAAUACAGUUAUAAGCUUAGGCUUUGACCGUUCUUAAUUACUUCUUUGUGGAUAACUAGCUGCUUUCCUGAAUCAUGAGUAUGUAGAUGUUGGAAAAGAAACACCAUUAUGUUGGUUACUGUUUCUACUCUUUUUUUUUUGUGAUUGCUUCCUCUCCCUUUCUAUUAGAAAUAGCUGUUUCUAGCUGCUAUUGAUGUCAUAUAUUGGAUGGGGACUAACAUGCUUGAUAUUGUGAUUCUUGUAGGCAACAUCAAUUUGUUAUUGAAAAAGUUAAUUACCAAUCAAACAUAGUAUUUGCCUAUCUCUUUUUUGGCAAACAUAGGCUUUGUUGCCACUUAAAACAAAUCAACACCGUAUUCAUGCAGUGCCUAAUUAAUGGAAAUUCACUUCUCAUACUCCUGUUAUACUACUACAUAAAAUCAAACGAUGUUAAUCAACCUCAACGGUGGCUUCUUAUGGCAAUGGUCCUUCCUACAGUUGUGAAGGUUAACAAUUCUAUUAUUUUCCUUUUUCAAUCGAGUUUUAUUGGAUAGUGGAGAUUAAUAAGCCAGGGAGCCCAUUUAUUUCCUCAAUUAGUGUUGUUAAGGUUUUCAAAACAAAAUUUUAAUGCAAUUUAUUUUAAAAAAAUAUCUUUGUUCUAUAUUUUUGUGGCAUUAUAUGUUGGUUUGUAUGCACUUUUGUAAUUAUUAUAAUUGUCAGAAGCCGUCAUCUUUAUAAUGCCACAAAGAUUUUGUAGUUUUUAGUUUCAAAUAGGGAUUCGAAUUUUCUAAUUUCUAUAUGUUUAUUUAUUAGCUUUAUAAUUUAUUUUUCUGGAGUUUUAUCUGUAAAAUUUGUACCACCUAUCCUUUUUCACAUUUAUUUUUGGCUUUCUUUUGAUGGAGACAAUAUAUGCACCCCCAUUGGCGAAAAGACAACUUAGAAUUGGUGGAUGUAUUAGGAGUACGUGGCGGAUAUGCUUGCAAUUUUAUUAUUUUUUCCCUAGAAUUCUUUAGCUUCAAUUGUAUUUAUAUUCUAUGAUCUGAAGAAUAUGUUCCAUAAUUUUCUAUAUAUGACUAAAAUGAGGACAAAAUUUUAAUGUUACCUUUGAAUUUCUGUAUUAGUCAGAAGUUUCAUGUGGCUAACAGUUUAAGCCCACUGAACCAUCAACAAUAAAAUAUAGUUUUCUUUGUGUGUGUGUGUAAUUAGCUGAUAUGGUUUUCACAUGUAUAAAUAUGAAUAAGAUUUACUUUUCGGUUAUAUUAAUUUGAAAACGAUUUUUGGUUGUCAAAUUGAAUCUGAGAUAUUUACAAGUCCAGGUCUUUAAAAUGCAUCUACUUCACAAUAUUUUCAAGUCUGGUAUCCACUGUACUUGUUUAUAAAUGUGUGGUCAAUGGAUUUCCUUUGACACUCUUAUUUUUUGUCUUUCAAUUUGGUUUGUGAUUCUGAAAAUAAAAAAGUAAAGCUUUUUGUGGAAAAAGAAAUAAUGAAUAUAUGGUGAUGGGUUAUUGUAAGUAUUUGUUAUUAUGCAAUAAUCAGAACCAUAAUCAUAUGCCGUAUGGAUUAUUGAUUUAUAGUAGUUUGCUACAUAUUUCCCCCAUGAUUCAUUAAUUGAAAAACAUUUCAUUCAUAUAUAGAAGAUUCUAUUGUUAUUGUGGGUUACAGGUUGCUACUCAGCAUCUAAUGAUUUUUGUUUUGGUAUUACUGUACACACUGUAAUUGUUCCCUACCUAGGUCAGAAAAUCAAAGUUUUACUGCCACCCUAGCAGACUCAUAGCAUCCUUUUAAUUAGAUUCGAUUAAUGAUAAGUGUACACCCCAUUUUUUGGGUGUAUGAAUGGAAAGAAGAGAAAAGGAAAAUAAUAUAUGUGAAUUAGGAAAAGAGAGAUAGGAAGAAAAAUAAGGUGGAAAUGAGAUGGAAGACAAAGUGAGCAAAUGCUAAGUAUUUUUCCUUUAGAUUCUAUGACUUCUGUCCCUAGUGAAAAUUGAUUUAAACGGUUUGAUUCCAUGGCUUGCAUUUUGUAUAAAAAAAAGCUGAAAAUUUAUACUGUAGAAUUUAAGAUUGCACAUAUAUGGAAGUGUGUAAAUUCAACAAAGAAUUAAGAGGCUAUUUGAUUUGUGAAAACAUUUUCUGUUUACACUUUUAAUUACAAACCUACAUUUUAGUUAAUUGGGUUCAUUUUCAUUUCAAAUCGAGUUAAGUUAUAACUUUGUAUUGUGUUUUGAUUUUUCAAAGAGUUUCACUUGAAAUUGUGUUAUUUUUUCUUUUCAAUCCCUGUCAUGGCUUAUAGUUCAAAAUGAUUAUUUUAAUUAUGUGUCCAGUUAUAUAUGUUUUCUUUUGUACUUUAUCAUAAUUGGAGACUAUGUACCUGCUUUCUCUAUAUAUGCUAAAUCUUAUCUAAUCUUAGCAGGUCAUAUUGAAUAUUUCAUCAUUGUGAACCACUUCUUUUGAUAAGACAUUCAAAUAAUGAUUGAUAUGGCUAUAUUUUUAAAUUUGAUUGUCCAAUUGUUCUGUCUACAAAUUUUUAGGCAAAUGAUUUAGCAUCUUAACUUUUGUCUGCUAAAGAAAUUUCUAGUGCACAAAAGUUACUUAACUUUACAGUGAAACUUAUCAAACUAAUUCAAGUUUUUUUAAGGAAACAUUACAAUUUAGGAUGUAUUUGUAUUUGUGGUGAUUAACCAUUUUCAAGUGACAUUUUGGAGCUCAGUAAUUAAGCAUCAAACGGAAGCUGGGGACAAUAGCUUAAUUCAUGGUGACAUAACAAAAUCUAACAAAGUGCAUGUGGUCAAAGGUUUCAGCAAAACCGUGAUGAGUUAGUUCCCGAAGAGAAAGCAAAAUUCACCCUUGGAUUGAAGUACUGGGGUAGCUGACAAAAUAUUGGGAUCAUUGGAAUUUGAAAAUGCCAAACGAAUAAAAGUCAGAGGGAAACGAAGUACUUGUGCUGACCUUACUUUAGUAUUUCAGUCCUAUGUUUUCGGCUUAGAAUGAAGUACUAUACAGAUGCUGAAGACAACAAUGAGUUGAUUACAAGAGAAUUGUGUGUUAAACCUCUCACUUCGGAAGCAUAUCUAAAGUAUGAUUUAUGAUAUGAGAAUUGUGUGAACGUGUGGUUGUAAAUGCUGCUCCCUUCAAAUAUCAGUAACUGUGCCCGGUCGUUGCAACUUGCAAGUUGAGGGAAUGUGGUAUCCAUGUCAUCAUUAGAGGAUGUUUUUGGAACUGGUUUGAAUUUAUCAUCAAUUUUAAACUAUUCAGUCUGUAAAUGUUAGCCUAGUUUUUGGCACGAGGUGCAAACUUACCAGUUGGAACGAAGAAAUAUGCUUUACUAUUGGAAUUUUGUAGUCAGAUUCUGAAAGUAAAAUUUCCUUGUUUUUCUUUUUGAUGUGUAA
Long non-coding RNA from Glycine soja, 5234 nucleotides. RefSeq lists it as uncharacterized. The transcript has 3 exons. Lineage: Eukaryota; Viridiplantae; Streptophyta; Magnoliopsida; Fabales; Fabaceae. The record is from RefSeq and is a predicted model, not a curated record.